GACGAACGCUGGCGGCGUGCUUAACACAUGCAAGUCGAACGGAAAGGCCCUGCUUUUGUGGGGUGCUCGAGUGGCGAACGGGUGAGUAACACGUGAGUAACCUGCCCUUGACUUUGGGAUAACUUCAGGAAACUGGGGCUAAUACCGGAUAGGAGCUCCUGCUGCAUGGUGGGGGUUGGAAAGUUUCGGCGGUUGGGGAUGGACUCGCGGCUUAUCAGCUUGUUGGUGGGGUAGUGGCUUACCAAGGCUUUGACGGGUAGCCGGCCUGAGAGGGUGACCGGCCACAUUAGGACUGAGGUAGGGAGCAGACUGCAACGGGAGGCAGCAGUGGGGAAUCUUGCACAAUGAGCGGAAGCCUGAUGCAGCAACGCCGCGUGCGGGAUGACGUCCUUCGGGUUGUAAACCGCUUUCGCCUGUGACGAAGCGUGAGUGACGGUAAUGGGUAAAGAAGCACCGGCUAACUACGUG
This 468-nucleotide ribosomal RNA is filed under the name uncultured bacterium. RNAcentral describes it as "partial 16S ribosomal RNA". It matches the Rfam family "Bacterial small subunit ribosomal RNA", at positions 28 to 507 of the family's 1533-position model. The record is from RNAcentral.